Manis pentadactyla (Chinese pangolin) is the source of this 3747-nucleotide long non-coding RNA. RefSeq lists it as uncharacterized. Lineage: Eukaryota; Metazoa; Chordata; Mammalia; Pholidota; Manidae. The record is from RefSeq and is a predicted model, not a curated record. The transcript has 4 exons.
AAGAGCUCCUUUCUUCUGACUCUGCGUCAGAACGUCCAAGCCUGUCAUCUGUGGAAGCGUCAUCCUGGAAAGGGCCUGGAAGAUGUUGAAGGGAGUCAAACUCACAAGCCACGAGUGUAUCUCAUGCUCUGCGUGUAGCUCCUAAGAGGAAAGGGGAUGACCUGGGUGACCCCUAGAGUCCUUCCCAGUCUGAGAUGGGACUGUGUGCCUUGUGAAUGCCUGGUGUAGAGAACAGCUGCAGCUUUGAUGGGAAAUUGUAUCUGGUGGGAAUUCGGCAGGAGGCAAAAUGUCUUGUUUUGUUGCUCUCAGUCUCUGGGUCUCCAGGCUCAGGGCCAGAGUGGUGGGGACUGGGAAACGCAGGGAAGUGUCAUGACAUGUAUCUGCAGCUCCAGUUCUUCAGACUGAGGCUUAGAUGAUCAGUUUCUAACAUCUAUGUUGUGAAAACUUUUCCUAGACUAAUAUUGUGAGUUGAGAGAGUAAGCAGAGGUCACCGUUUACUUUUCUCCCUCUAAGGACCAAAGGCAUUUAAAAGAUCAGAGAGCUAGACUCAGGGACACCUGAAGGUUUCUCCCUCUCUGUUAUAGGUGGUCUACAUUGAGUGUCCCAGCCAAGAGGUUAUCUUUUCAUUAGGCCUGAUGAACUUGGGACCAGCUUUCACACCCCCUUGAAAGCCUGCAAGGAGUUCUCAGUUACCAGGAAGCCUGGCAGAAAACUGUGGGAGCUGGUGACAUGUGUGACACCCUGUUCCCAGCUCAUGUGUCCCAGCUUGUGGUCUAGGACAUAGGGUCAAAGUUGUGGAGUCUGGGGAAAUCUGGGUGACAUUAUAAAACGUGAGCUGCAGCACCAUCUUCUUCAUCCUGCCCCAGAUGAUCUGCUCCUGAUAGCCACGUGGGGGAACUUCUCCCCACCUGAUGUGGGGCAUCUUUGGGGCGCCCAUUCACUCAGUCUUACUCCAUCGCUAAUAGUGUACUUCUUCUGCCAGGAGGGGCAGGUGAACUCUCUGGACCCCUUAGCCCUGGGGAGUCUGGAGAAGCCGGCCAGUCACAUCUGAAGGUUUUGACCAACCACUGUGGAAAGGUCACUCAGUCACAGUUUCUUCUUGGAGGUCCUUCUGAUGCUGGGGUUCUUGUUUGCGGAGUCGAAGAAUGAAUCUCGCAAACAGUCAGGGUAGGAGAGUCAGGGCAGAGGCUUUUAUUGAGAGAUACAGUGAGAGGACAGACAGAGCUCCUGGCGUGAGCCAGGAGGGGACAAGAGAGCCCGUAGUGGUGCAUUGUCUAGUGGUUUUAUAGGCAGUUGAGGAUUUUUGGGAACAGGAUAAAAGGCUUAGGAGUGUGGACUUGUUAAGUGGUCCCUGAAUAUUAAAAAUAAACUUAACACAAGAAAUUUACUGCUCUGAUUUCUCCCUGGGAUACUGGCGUCUUGGUCUAGGAGCCGCCUAGACCAGCUCCCAAGGUGGGCUGAGGUAUUGUCUGUUUGCUAAAGGCUAUGAACACACCAGCUGUGAUGAAUCCUCCUACAUAAGUGUUUGAAAUUUUAAGAGAGAAGAGUGUAAUUUCUCUUAGACAUUAAAAAAAAUCCAUCACCUCACAAUUUAGAGAAGAAAAGGCAUACUGUUUGAAGGAUAGAGAUUCAAAUAAAAUUAUAAAAUUUGGAAGAGUCAAGAGAGAACUUAAACAAUCUUAAACUACUUGCUAAUCUGCUUCCCUAAAUCCAUCCUGUUCAAUGAACACCUCAUAAAUGCCUACACGGGGCUCGCCGCUAUUCAGGAGGAUAACAGAUCAGAGAGUGAGGCAGCAAUCCUACCCUUCAGAGGCGCUGUCUAGUACAGUGCAUCAUCCUAACUGUGGGACAGUCACCCUGGAAAAACACAAAUGCCAGAGUCUCACACAGACCACCUGCUCAGAAUCUCAGGGGUAAGGUCUGAACAUCAGUAUUUUUUAAAAUCACCCAAAGUGACUCUAAUACACAGUGAAGAUUAAGAACAACAGUCUAAAAGCAAAGAGAGGCCAGGCAGGUCAUUGCAGCUCCACAUGCUGGGUCUGUGAGAAGAACGUGUGUGUUCUGCUGGUCAUGGCAGAGGCGGGGGAGUGGGGGGAACAAUUUUGCCUUGAGAGGGGAUGUCCUGUGAAAGAGUCACAAGAAAAGGGACACUUUAGUCAAAUCUUAAAAGGCAAGUUGGAGUUUACUAAAUCAGACAAAGGAGAUGGGGCAGGGGGCAUUCCAUGCAAAGCAACAAGCCAAAGCUGAGGCUGGUGGUAGGAAAUGUUGGGCAUAUGCCCUGGGACUGCGUAGGAAGGGGCAGCAGUGUAUUCAUUUGCUAGGGAUGCAGUAACAAAAUACCACGCACUGCAUGGCUUGAACAGCAGAAAUCUAUUCUCACGUGCCAGGAGCAUGUCGAGUGGGUUAAGGCAGGAGGCGAGGAGAGAAGGAGCCCAGGGGUGUGUUCUAGCCCUCCAGCCCAAUGAUGUGGGCAAGGAAAGAAAGACUUUCCCAAGGGGAGACUUAGUAAGACCAACCGAUGGACCAGGAGGGAGUGGGAAAGGGGGACUGGAUCAAAAAGUAAUUCAGAAGUGUAAGUGUGAGAAGAGAAGUAGGUCUUUUGUUUGUUUUUUCACGGAAAGGGAGAAGUCCAUCUUCCACAAGGAACAAUGAGCUCAGUUUCAGGUUUGGUGAGACGUCAGCAGACCACUAGAGAUACCGACCUGUAGCCUGGGACAAGAGUCGGGGCUGGAGAUCUAGAGAGGAAGCCAGUCACCAUGGGGACGGUUUGUGAUGUUCAUGGUGCAGAGGCAACCCCAACAAUGACAAAUUGGGGCCAGAGGGGGGCUCCUCCAUCUCACUGUCCUUGCACUUGGGGCGUCUCCUGCCCCCUCAGUGCAUAGGGGCUGGUCUGGAUGGGGCCAGUUAGGAUGGCUGUGGCCACGCAAGGCACAGAGUCCUUUGAUAUCCCCCAAAGUCACAGUUCACGGUGCAAAAGGGUUGGCAACCAGUGUACCAGGGCUGGAAGGUGUGCUGUGGGAUGAUUAGAAGUCGGGCUGCCAUCAAAAUCAUGGCCAUUUAGUUUCCUCUAAAAUAUAUUUCAAUAUCCUCUUUGAGACAGGGACCGUGGAUGUAGUCAGAGUAUGGUGAGGGCUUCCGGAGGGGGCAGGGCGGGAUAUUUGCAGUCAGAGCAAUGUAACUACAUGCAAGGAAACCCCCCCUGCUAAAACUCUAUGUUAAACAUUGAGCUCUAGAAUCAUUUUUCAGUGAAAUCAGUUAAUGUUCCCCAGGUAAAGAAGAGUAGCACAUGUCUUAUUAUGCUAACCACUUAUAAUCAUGUGUAAGGUUCACUUUAGCAUACUAAAAGGCCUAGCCUAUGUGCUGUCUUUCCUCCUUCAGAUCUGAUGAAGUGAUUUUGCAAGCUGGGCAACUAAUUUAGCAAGUAAGCCCAGGCAUAAACAACACAGUAAAAGGCAGGAAGGAUUCUACCUUAAAGAUAAGAUUGCAUUUUAAUAUCCAAGAAGUUAAGACGUUAGAAAUUCUUCACUUACACUUUAGCAAACAAUGCCUCAGCCCACCCUGGGGGCUGAGCAGGUGGCCUUGUUUCAUAUGCCCCCAGACCAAGAUGCUGGUCUCUCAGGGAGAAAUCAUCAGAGGAAGUUGCUUGUGUUAAGUUAAUUCUAAAUAUUCAGGGACCUCCUAACAAGUCCACACCCCUAAGUUUUUUCAUGUUCUCGAAAAAUCCUCAGCUGCCUAUAAAACCCCUGA